AAUACUCCAACCAAACUCCAUAUCUUACUCUAUAAUGAAAUUUACUUUAUAAAUGGAGUAAUCUAUUUUUUGUUUGUUCAUCACUCCAUUAUAAAGUGGAAAAUGGAAUAGAGUUUGAGCAAUUUUACUCUAUUUUCACUUUUAUUUCAUUUUGGAGGAAAAAAUGAAAUUUUGCAUUGGAGAUACUCUAGAAAAGAAUCAUUCAAGUAGAUUAAAACGUCAUUCUGGUAAUGAAACUUUUCUUUCUUCUAAUUUUUUUUUUCAAGUUUGAUAUGGAAAGUGAUUAAGUACCUCAACUGUCCACUUAGCUAAAUAUGUUUAGUGGCAUCCUCACAACUAUAGAAUCAAUCGUAGCAAUGAAAAAGUUAUCUAGGUUUGGUGUAUUUUAUCGCAAAUAUUAUUGUUAAGUACUAUAAUACAUUGCAUUAUUACUGUAGGCUUGUGAUAUUUAGCAGAAUAGAAGAAUCCGAAAUGUCUUUACAUAAUUUCAUUUUUCAUCAAAACGUUCGUAGACUCUUUACUAAUGAUAGCAUAUACAUAGCUCAAAUUUGUAUGCAAAAGCAUUUAUAUAUAUUUAUUAAAUUUGAUCAUAUACUUUAAGUCGUUUUUAUAAGCAUGUGUAUGCAUAAUACAUAUUCAAUAAAACUGAUUUAUUUGAAUAGUUAACUUUAGUUAAAAAAAUUUUUUGAUGUUGUGUUAACUCUAGUUAUUUCAUUAAAUACAAUAGUUAACUUAUAUAAAUAAGUUUAUCUUACAAUUUUAUAUAUUGAUUUACGGUGGAUGUGGUUUUCGGCGGUGGCGUUUUCGGUGUUACCGUCGGAGUAGUAUCUUGCUUCUCGUUUUCGGCGAUUGUUUUCCUUUUUGGCAUCGAUGGCUUCUUUCAGACUCUGGCGUCAUAACUUUCUUCUUCGGUGAAGACGGCCGGCUUUUGACUCCGACUUAUACCAUUUUCUUCAGGGUGUAAUCGACUUCCCCCCCCCCCCCCGAGUAUUCUCGAUCUGUGGGACGGUUAUGUUUCUUUGUGUUUGGUGGCUUGGUGUUGUGGAUGAUUUCUCGACUGGUCUAUUGACGCUCUCCGAUGGAUGUGGCUUAGGCAAUGAAUGUGUAUGCUUUGAAGCUGGUGGGUUUCUUUGAUCGUGGUCAUGUCCCCGAGUUCCGGCAUAAAGCUUUUGUCGGUGGCGGUAUGGAUGCAGUUUCUGCGUUUCGAAUCAUGUUUUCUUUCAAUCUCUUCUUCGUACACGUGAAGCAUACGUGUCUUUUCUUUCUGGGCGUUCUUGGUUGGGCCCAUGUUUGAGUCUCGUCCUUGUAUUUUUAAGUUUGGCCAUCUUGAGCCUUUGUGUUGUUUUUAGCAGUCCGGACCUUUUCUAUGUCUUCUCUUGUAGUGUUGUUUAAUAAAAUUACCAGAUAACAAAAAAAAA
Brassica napus (rape) is the source of this 1418-nucleotide long non-coding RNA. RefSeq lists it as uncharacterized. The transcript has 2 exons. Lineage: Eukaryota; Viridiplantae; Streptophyta; Magnoliopsida; Brassicales; Brassicaceae. The record is from RefSeq and is a predicted model, not a curated record.